RNAcentral lists this ribosomal RNA (352 nucleotides) under Pallidohirschioporus biformis. RNAcentral describes it as "eukaryotic LSU rRNA". The stretch from base 1 to 106 matches the Rfam family "5.8S ribosomal RNA", at positions 50 to 154 of the family's 154-position model. Lineage: Eukaryota; Fungi; Basidiomycota; Agaricomycetes; Hymenochaetales; Hirschioporaceae. The record is from RNAcentral. RNAcentral also lists the same sequence under 1 other name.
GAAAUGCGAUAAGUAAUGUGAAUUGCAGAAUUCAGUGAAUCAUCGAAUCUUUGAACGCACCUUGCGCUCCUUGGCUAUUCCGAGGAGCAUGCCUGUUUGAGUGUCAUGUUAAUAUCAACUCUGAUGGUUUUUGUUAACCAUUGGAUGUUGGACUUGGAGGUUCGUGCUGGCUGCAAAGUCGGCUCCUCUUGAAUGCAUUAGCUUGGACCUGUGCGCGUUUGCUAGCGGUGUAAUACAUUUUAUUCACCACGGGCCGUGUCACUAUUAGGGUCUGCUUCUAAUCGUCCUUACCGGACAAUAUAAACUUUAUGACUCUGACCUCAAAUCAGGUAGGACUACCCGCUGAACUUAA